UACGUAGGGUGCAAGCGUUAAUCGGAAUUACUGGGCGUAAAGCGUGCGCAGGCGGUUUGUAAGUCUGUCGUGAAAUCCCCGGGCUCAACCUGGGAAUUGCGAUGGAGACUGCAAGGCUAGAAUCUGGCAGAGGGGGUAGAAUUCCACGUGUGAGCAGUGAAAUGCGUAGAUAUGCGGAGGAACACCGAUGGCGAAGGCAAUCCCUGGACCUGUACUGACGCUCAUGCACGAAAGCCGUGGGGAGCAAACAGG
Molecule: ribosomal RNA, 252 nt
Filed under: uncultured bacterium
Lineage: Bacteria
Description: partial 16S ribosomal RNA
Rfam family: Bacterial small subunit ribosomal RNA
Source: RNAcentral